AGCACGCGCAGACCUUACCACCUUUUGACAUGCCCGGACCGCCACAGAGAUGUGGCUUUCCCUUCGGGCACUGGGACACAGGUGCUGCAUGGCUGUCGUCAGCUCGUGUCGUGAGAUGUUGGGUUAAGUCCCGCAACGAGCGCAACCCUCGCCAUUAGUUGCCAUCAUUUAGUUGGGAACUCUAAUGGGACUGCCGGUGCUAAGCCGGAGGAAGGUGGUGAUGACGUCAAGUCCUCAUGGCCCUUACAGGGUGGGCUACACACGUGCUACAAUGGCGACUACAGAGGGUUAAUCCUUAAAAGUCGUCUCAGUUCGGAUUGUCCUCUGCAACUCGAGCGCAUGAAGUUGGAAUCGCUAGUAAUCGCGGAUCAGCAUGCCGCGNUGAAUACGUUCCCGGGCCUUGUACACACCGCCCGUCACACCAUGUGAGUUGGUUCUACCCGAAGUCGAUGCGCUAACCGCAAGNAGGCAGUCGACCACGGUAGGCUCAGCGACUG
Molecule: ribosomal RNA, 497 nt
Filed under: alpha proteobacterium BAC133P
Lineage: Bacteria; Pseudomonadati; Pseudomonadota; Alphaproteobacteria
Description: bacterial SSU rRNA
Rfam family: Bacterial small subunit ribosomal RNA
Source: RNAcentral